AGAACGAACGCUGGCGGCAUGCCUAAUACAUGCAAGUCGAACGAAUGCCCUUCGGGGUGUUAGUGGCGCACGGGUGCGUAACGCGUGGGAAUCUGCCCUUGGGUUCGGAAUAACAGUUAGAAAUGACUGCUAAUACCGGAUGAUGACGUAAGUCCAAAGAUUUAUCGCCCAGGGAUGAGCCCGCGUAGGAUUAGCUAGUUGGUGGGGUAAAGCCUACCAAGGCGACGAUCCUUAGCUGGUCUGAGAGGAUGAUCAGCCACACUGGGACUGAGACACGGCCCAGACUCCUACGGGAGGCAGCAGUAGGGAAUAUUGGACAAUGGGCGAAAGACCUGAUCCAG
RNAcentral lists this ribosomal RNA (341 nucleotides) under uncultured soil bacterium. RNAcentral describes it as "bacterial SSU rRNA". It matches the Rfam family "Bacterial small subunit ribosomal RNA", at positions 26 to 391 of the family's 1533-position model. The record is from RNAcentral.